AGAGUUUGAUCCUGGCUCAGAGUGAACGCUGGCGGCAGGCCUAACACAUGCAAGUCGAACGGCAGCACAGGAGAGCUUGCUCUCUGGGUGGCGAGUGGCGGACGGGUGAGGAAUGCGUCGGAAUCUGCCUCUUUGUGGGGGAUAACGUAGGGAAACUUACGCUAAUACCGCAUACGACCUACGGGUGAGAGCCGGGGACCUUCGGGCCUGGCGCAGAGAGAUGAGCCGACGCCGGAUUAGCUAGUUGGCGGGGUAAAGGCCCACCAAGGCGACGAUCCGUAGCUGGUCUGAGAGGAUGAUCAGCCACACUGGAACUGAGACACGGUCCAGACUCCUACGGGAGGCAGCAGUGGGGAAUAUUGGACAAUGGGCGCAAGCCUGAUCCAGCCAUGCCGCGUGUGUGAAGAAGGCCUUCGGGUUGUAAAGCACUUUUGUCCGGAAAGAAAAGCCUGGGGCUAAUACCCUUGGGUUAUGACGGUACCGGAAGAAUAAGCACCGGCUAACUUCGUGCCAGCAGCCGCGGUAAUACGAAGGGUGCAAGCGUUACUCGGAAUUACUGGGCGUAAAGCGUGCGUAGGUGGUUUGUUAAGUCUGAUGUGAAAGCCCUGGGCUCAACCUGGGAACUGCAUUGGAUACUGGCUGACUAGAGUGCGGUAGAGGGGUGUGGAAUUCCCGGUGUAGCAGUGAAAUGCGUAGAUAUCGGGAGGAACAUCUGUGGCGAAGGCGACACCCUGGACCAGCACUGACACUGAGGCACGAAAGCGUGGGGAGCAAACAGGAUUAGAUACCCUGGUAGUCCACGCCCUAAACGAUGCGAACUGGAUGUUGGGAGCAACUUGGCUCUCAGUAUCGAAGCUAACGCGUUAAGUUCGCCGCCUGGGAAGUACGGUCGCAAGACUGAAACUCAAAGGAAUUGACGG
RNAcentral lists this ribosomal RNA (920 nucleotides) under uncultured soil bacterium. Its description in RNAcentral is "bacterial SSU rRNA". It matches the Rfam family "Bacterial small subunit ribosomal RNA", at positions 8 to 916 of the family's 1533-position model. The record is from RNAcentral.